This 301-nucleotide ribosomal RNA is filed under the name uncultured bacterium. RNAcentral's name for it is "partial 16S ribosomal RNA". It matches the Rfam family "Bacterial small subunit ribosomal RNA", at positions 509 to 809 of the family's 1533-position model. The record is from RNAcentral.
CAGUAGCCACGGGAAUACGUAGGGUGCAAGCGUUAAUCGGAAUUACUGGGCGUAAAGCGUGCGCAGGCGGUUUGUUAAGACAGAUGUGAAAUCCCCGGGCUCAACCUGGGAACUGCAUUUGUGACUGGCAAGCUAGAGUGUGGCAGAGGGGGGUGGAAUUCCGCGUGUAGCAGUGAAAUGCGUAGAUAUGCGGAGGAACACCGAUGGCGAAGGCAGCCCCCUGGGCCAACACUGACGCUCAUGCACGAAAGCGUGGGGAGCAAGCAGGAUUAGAUACCCGCGUAGUCCCUGUCUCUUAUAA